UGACCUCAAAUCAGGUAGGAUUACCCGCUGAACUUAAGCAUAUCAAUAAGCGGAGGAAAAGAAACCAACUGGGAUUACCUUAGUAACGGCGAGUGAAGCGGUAAAAGCUCAAAUUUGAAAUCUGGUACUUUCAGUGCCCGAGUUGUAAUUUGUAGAAUUUGUCUUUGAUUUGGUCCUUGUCUAUGUUCCUUGG
This 193-nucleotide non-coding RNA is filed under the name Hanseniaspora valbyensis NRRL Y-1626. Its description in RNAcentral is "Eukaryotic large subunit ribosomal RNA". It matches the Rfam family "Eukaryotic large subunit ribosomal RNA", at positions 1 to 193 of the family's 3401-position model. The record is from Rfam by way of RNAcentral. Lineage: Eukaryota; Fungi; Ascomycota; Saccharomycetes; Saccharomycodales; Saccharomycodaceae.